CUUUAUCCUAUUUGUUGCACAACAUUUACUAGAGAUAAAUAUAGUGCAGGUAGACCUUGCAUUUGCUUCUGAUGAUACCCUUCAGAACUGACCUUCAGUUCUCCUGUAAUCUCAUUGCAGGGUCUUACUUGGGCAGAAGUUACAAAAUUGUACUAAAUUAUACUGAGCUGUGGUGGUCUGGAGAUAACAAGAAUCUAAAUGAAUAUUCAAAAUACUACUGGAUGUGACCAUGAGUAACCUGAUUUAACUUCGGCAUUAGCCUUGGUUUGAGUGAGAGAAUGGAGCAGAGCCAAUGACCCCCAGAAGUCCAUUCCCACUUGAAUUAUGCUAUGAUUCUAUAUGGAGACCUCUAUCUCUUGGGUCCUUGGAAGUCACUGUGGUUUACCAGUGAUCUAUGAUGGCCCAAAGAGACUUAAAAGGAUGCUGCGAUGCCAGGGAGACUUUUGAGAGGGAAGAUUCAUUUAGCAUCUGGACAGCAACUCUUCCAAGAAGAGAAGUGGGACACCGGGAGCAGCUGAAUUAUUCUGUGUAUGAGGAAGCUUAUUUGGGAGACAUCACCUACUGCUCCCUCUGUAUUAUUUUCCUGACUGUGCAAACACUGGGCAUUUGUGCAGAGAGCAAACCUCUACCACUGCAUGGCAACUCAGUGCAGUCCAGUGUGUUCCUGAAUACAUCAGCUGAGCUGUAAGAAUGUACAAGAUCUUUUCAGUGCCAGUGGGAAUGACUGGGAGUAAAUGAAGACAGAAUAUCACCCACAGUCUCAGUAGGAGAUUGCGUCCCACACUGACACGUGUGCUUGGAUAUUCAGAAGAAAUUAUAUGCACCGAAAAUACAACACAUUGUGUCACAGAACCUGGUAAUUGUGAAGAAAAAAAAUCAUUAAGAGCCAAGUUAUAUGCUACACCAGUAAGUAUAGUUUCUGUUGACAUCAUAUUCAUCCCUAGCAGCAGGAACCUUCAGUGUUACAUUUCAUAACUGUGUUUUGCUAAUGAGUUUUAUGAAAAUGGUAUUUGCAAAGAACUGCAUAUUUCACAACAUGCAGU
Molecule: long non-coding RNA, 1043 nt
Organism: Cygnus olor (mute swan)
Lineage: Eukaryota; Metazoa; Chordata; Aves; Anseriformes; Anatidae
Exons: 6
Source: RefSeq, a predicted model, not a curated record